RNAcentral lists this ribosomal RNA (498 nucleotides) under uncultured bacterium. RNAcentral's name for it is "partial 16S ribosomal RNA". It matches the Rfam family "Bacterial small subunit ribosomal RNA", at positions 28 to 507 of the family's 1533-position model. The record is from RNAcentral.
GACGAACGCUGGCGGCGUGCCUAAUACAUGCAAGUCGAACGAGAGCGACCGGUGCUUGCACUGGUCAAUCUAGUGGCGAACGGGUGAGUAACACGUGGGUAACCUGCCCAUCAGAGGGGGAUAACAUCCGGAAACGGAUGCUAAAACCGCAUAGGUCUUCGAACCGCAUGGUUUGAAGAGGAAAAGAGGCGCAAGCUUCUGCUGAUGGAUGGACCCGCGGUGCAUUAGCUAGUUGGUGAGGUUACGGCUCACCAAGGCCGUGAUGCAUAGCCGACCUGAGAGGGUGAUCGGCCACAUUGGGACUGAGACACGGCCCAAACUCCUACGGGAGGCAGCAGUAGGGAAUCUUCCGCAAUGGACGCAAGUCUGACGGAGCAACGCCGCGUGAGUGAAGAAGGUUUUCGGAUCGUAAAACUCUGUUGUUAGAGAAGAACAAGUGCUAGAGUAACUGUUAGCGCCUUGACGGUAUCUAACCAGAAAGCCACGGCUAACUACGUG